This is a non-coding RNA of Monodelphis domestica (gray short-tailed opossum), 4966 nucleotides long. NCBI's taxonomy places the organism in Eukaryota, Metazoa, Chordata, Mammalia, Didelphimorphia, Didelphidae. The record is from RefSeq and is a predicted model, not a curated record.
CGGGCUGACGCGGCCCCGCUAUCAACAAAGCGCUUCAGAACCACCGGGCGCUAUUUUCCGAAAAUGCCGCGUCUGGUCGGCGCCCAAAAUCCCCACCGAAAAGUCCCCCGUGCUUCUCGCGGAGGGACACAUGGUGUGCGACCGGAGCUGCCUUUCCCGCACCCUAACCCCUGACCCCGCGGAAGAGAGAAGGGAUGGCGGUUCUGAUAUUUAACCGAGGAGAGGAAAUUAUGCCAUUUCAAGGUUUUCUGCUACACAAAGAAACCGGCGGAAUGAUCUGCUCGUGAUAAAUGCGAGUCCCGGCUAGUACUGCGCCUGCGUGCCAUGAGGGGGAGGUGGCUACUUGUCCAUGUGGACGCUUGUCCCGAGCGCAGGCAGUUCCUGGUCCCUUCCCGCCUGUUUUUAUUUUUCUCUUAGUUGAAAAGAACAAAACGACUAGCGGAGCAUUUCUGACCUUUAUUUGCCUUUGAUGGAAUCUGGAAUCCGCCAAUGCCCCUAAGUCCUGUUUGGUUGGAAGAGAAAUGGGGGGGUGGAAACGUGCACAUCAGCUUAAUAAGCUGGCCAACUGUGCCUAGUAGAAUUCUGGGAGGCUUGGGGGGCAGGGAGAAGGGGUGUCGUGUUACUCAGAACAACAGGGGUUUUACUUAAGGCUAUGUUAGAUUUAACUAGCUGGCGUUUGUCUAGGGGCUAGAUAACGAAAAAUAUUUGUACCAUGACCCUAUGUUACUAGAAUGACCACCUAGGAUGGGCUCUUAACAGGCUGUGACAGAUCUGGACUUUAGAGGGAUCACCUCGGCCUCAAGGAUGUAAAAGAAGCAGCCUUUCUUUACGCCAUUGAUGCGACAAACUUAACUGAAGCCCAGACCAUGGGACUUGAGUUCCCAGAUACUAAUCAUUACUUUACCUGGUGGUUAGAGCUGGUUGAGGUUCUGAGGCUGACUCUGUGACCCUGAACAAGUCAUUUAACCUUGCAUGUGACAAUACUAAAUUGUAACAUACUGACAGUGUGUGUGACCCUGGGCUAUUCACUUAGCUUCUCUGACCAUACAUAAGGCUGCUCAUAAAUUGAGCAUUUGCCCAUCUGAAUUGGUUGAGUUUUCUCACCAGGCUUUGAUAUAUUCAUUCACAGGGUAAAACAAUUCAGUUCAUUUGUAUUUUACAGCUUGCUGUUCUAUUUGGAAAAGUUGACUUCUCAACUGUCUGGCUUGAUGUCUGGCUAUAGAGUCCUAUACCCUCAACAAGAUUUGAAAAUUGAACUCCUGUUGUCCGUUUGACGUUUCAGGAUAAUACAGCAUACCUGAUUUAAAUACUUGUUAUCAAGCUCUGAAUUUUCUGGCGUUAAAAUUUACACAGUAAGUCAGUGAGCACUUUUUUAAGUUUACUGUGUUGCAGGUAUUGUGCUAAAAACCAGGGCCACAAUGAGAGUCAAAAAAGUAUAACCUGAGAGUGCACCUUCUAAAGGAGAAGACUACAUGAAAAUAACUAGAUAUAUAUAGAAGAUAUAUCUAGAGUAGGUGGAAAGUAACCUGAAAAAAUUAAGGCCUUAGCCAUUUAAAGGACCAGGAAAGAUUGCCUGCAAAAGUUGGCUUUAGAAUUGAGUCUCAGCAUAGGCAGCCCUUAAAAAUGCACUGAGGCAGGAUUUCAGGGAUUGCUUAUAGACCAAUGUAACUGGAUCAUAGAAUUCUUGUAGAGGAGUAAAGUGUGAAAAAGACUAGAAAGGUAAGAAGGCGACAAAUUAUAAAGAGCUUUACAUGCUAACCCUAAUCAUUCAAGCAUAUUUGUCAGUGCUAGUGGUACCAGAAAAACAAAUCCCAAAUAGUCACUGCCCUCAAGUAAUUUUACUUUCUAUUUCUAAAUCUGCUUAUUUCUCCUUUUUUAAAAUGUAUGUAAUUUAGACUUCAAAAGUUCUGGUUUAAUUUUUUUUAAUUGACAUACCCCAAAAAAAAUAAAUUGUAAUUUUAAUUACAUACUUUUUUUGUUUGUUUUUUAACAAUUUAAGAUCUUAUAGCUAAUAAGAGAAUUGGCAGGUUUGCUGUCAUUAGCAUUCACUUUUCUGUAAUGAUUUCUGAGGAGGUGCUAACAUAUUUUUUCAUUUCAAAAUCUGAAGGGAAAAUGGCAAGAAGGUAUGUACAAAGUUUAGUAACAGAACUGAAGUUAUUUGUGUAAGGAAAAUUCAGUGCUCAUAGGAAACAGUGAAAAGAAAUUGAAUGAAAAAAGUUUUCAAGAAAAUGGAAUAGUAAGUAACAAAUCACAAUUUUGCAACCUGGCUAUGGCUGCUUACCUAGAAACAUUUUUUUAAAUCCAUGUAAGAUUUUUCUGAACAAACUAAACUGCUAAAAAUUCAAAAAUUGACCUUUUGAAAUUGCAAGAUCAGGUUUUGUGUGUUUAUGGUUUUAAACUUUGAUGCAUAUAUAAUAUCCAACUGAAACAUAAACUAGUAGUUAUGCCAAUCAGGAAUUAAAUGGUAAAGUAUUGGGUAGACGGUGAAGUUCUUUGUAAAAGCAAUCACUAUACAUCAUUGGGUAAUGCAAAAGAGAAAACUUACCAACUGCUUUUCCUUUUAUUAAAGAUAGAGAAAAAUAAGCAUUUAUUAGGCACCAUGUGCCAAGCACUUUGCUAAAUUCAAAGAAAACAAAGACAAGUAAAAGUCCCUAUCUUCAAAGAUCUUACAUCUAGAACUGGAAGGGACUUAAGAGGCCAGUUAGUCUAACUCUUUCAUUUUACAGAUGAGGAAACUGAGGUAUGGAGAGGUUGAAUAACUUCCUGAGGGAUCACAGAACUAAUGUAUAAGGAUGCAUUUGAAUCCUGGUCUUCCUGAUUCCAAGUCUAAUGUUCACUCAAAGGCCCAAGGUCACAGAGAUAUUAAAUGACAGGCAUAAUUUGAACAUAAGGGGCUCCUCCUAUUAUGCUUCAAUGUUGUUAUAUGCCUUGUAUAAAUGGAGAUUUUGAACCUUUGACUUCGUUCUCCAGAAAUCCUUAGUAUUUCCCAAAAUUCCUAUAAUCUCUCGCGUCUCCAUGUUGGUAUUUAAGUGGGAAUAUGCUCUGCCCAUGCUCUCUUUUUGACCAACCGGGCUGAAUUCAAGCAGUUCUUUCACUUUAGUUAUUAUUAAUAAAACUUUAUAAAAUAUAUUUAGUUAUUGUAUAUUAAUUUUAAUCUGUACAGCCAGGUUAUACAAUCUCUUUCCAUAUUCUGUUAGGGAGGAUGUACCUAUGAAAUGGAUAUGGCGAUUUUGAAGAAAACCCAAACACCUGGAGAUUCAGGAAAGACCUUGUGUAGAUAGUACUCAAACUGAGUCUUAAAAGAAACUAAGGGCUCUAAGAGUUAGAAGUGUAAGGAGGGAAAAGGGUUAAUUUUAUAAAGGGUUGGAUUUUAUAUUUUAAGAAUGUGGUCGCCAAGAAUUUAAUUAAUUCCAAAGAGAUUUUAUUUACAAUUUAUUUUUUAAAAUGUAGAAAGAGUGAAGCAAGAAAUCAGAGAGAAGUUAGGGUAAGUUAUCUAGCCUAGGCACUAAGUAAUUUACUCCCAGCCACCACCAACACCCCCCCACCCCACUUCCCAGCAGAGAGUUAGUUUCAGCUGGCUUUGGCAAAGCUGAGGACCUGAGAAGUUUCUCAAGAAGAUAGGUCUUUCCUGAGGCCGGUCUCUUCAGAGAAAAACCAGCAAUUAAGUCAUCCUUUUCACUUACCACGUGUCAGGCCAGUCAGCAGAUCCUUCUGCCCCUCUUCACCAGUCUCAACUAGAAAGCAUGAAGAAUUCAAAUCUCACAGGAAGUAACAGCUCCUUUUAAAGACAUUUUCUCUCAUCACUUCCUGUGCCUUCCCCCAAUCACAGUUGCUCUAGGACUUCCCAGAAGGCAGGCAGUCGAUUCUGAUUCAUCACCCACUAUCACACACGUGGGUCACAGACCUCCCCCACUCAAGUGUGAAUGGGGUGUUUGCACCUUUGGUGAUUAAAUCUGAAAUGGAUAAAUCUUCAUACUCAACUUUUAAGUAGGGUGUUUACACUUUUGGGAAUUAAAUCUAAAAACCAUGUUCUAAAAAUAGGGGUUACAAUUUAAUCUUCACAAUCGGGAGAGUUAAUUUUAAUCUUCACAGAAGUGAGGAGGGAAUGUGGUCUGGGAAUUGGGAAGACCAAUGCAAAGGCACAGAGAUAGGAAAUAGAUUUCUAUAAUUAAUAACUGUCCUCUUUUCUUUACAUAUAAAAUCUCAUCAACAUUCCUUUGUAUUGGCCAUCCUCCUCACAACUCCUCACUAUAGAAUCCUUCAAGAUGAAAUUUAAGAACCUCUUAUACAUGUAACCUUUUCUGAUUCCCCACCCCACCACCAACUAACUAGUUACCUCUUUUCCAAACAGCCUAGUAAGUUACUACUUUGUAUUUAUUAUGUAUUUAGAUGAGGAAACUGAAUCCUUAGGACUUAUAUUUGUACUUGUCUCCCCUACUCAACUGUAAGCUUUCUAGGAGUUUCAUUCUUUGUAUCCCCUGGUACAAAGUAGGCAAUAAAUAGUUGUUCCAAUACCUCAUCAUCCAAUACCCUUAUGAUUGAAGGGUAGAGGGCUCCCAAAACUUUUAAGGAAGGUUCUCAGGCCAGGCAUCUCUUCAUUUCCCACUCACUCCUUUGGACUUCUCCAUCAUGGCCCUUUGACAGGUACAUUUACCCUCUUCCCUGUUUAGCUUCCUUUUGUGCAUUGUCUUCCCCUAUUAGGUUGUAAGUAUCUGGAGGGCAAGGACUCCCCUUUUCCAUAUUUGUAUCCCCAGUGUUUAUUUAGCAUAAUACCUGGUACAUAAUAGGUCCUUAAUGUUUAUUGAUUGAUUGAAAUAUAUUCUUCAUCAUCUCUCUGUAAACCUCUUAUAGUCCCCAAAUCCAAAAAAGUUAGCCCAAAAGAUAAAACGGUUGAAUUUAGUACCAAAGGAAAAAAAAGCUGCAUUUCAUCUUCUAGUAACAUGAAAAUAAAGGCCUUUCAAACAUA